This 203-nucleotide unclassified non-coding RNA is filed under the name soil metagenome. RNAcentral describes it as "partial contains 5.8S ribosomal RNA, internal transcribed spacer 2, and large subunit ribosomal RNA". The record is from RNAcentral.
AACCUAGCACACCUGCGGUGUGUACCUGCGGAGGGAUCAUUACCUAGAGUUGUAGGCUUUGCCUGCUAUCUCUUACCCAUGUCUUUUGAGUACCUUACGUUUCCUCGGUGGGUUCGCCCGCCGGUUGGACAAAACUUAAACCCUUUGUAGUUGCAAUCAGCGUCUGAAAAAACUUAAUAGUUACAACUUUUAGCAACGGAUCU